AACGCACCUUGCGCUCCUUGGUAUUCCGAGGAGCAUGCCUGUUUGAGUGUCAUUAAAUUCUCAACCUCACCAGUUUUGUAACGAGACCGGUGAAGGCUUGGAUGUGGGGGUUUGCAGGCUGCCUUAGUGCUGGUCUGCUCCUCUGAAAUGCAUUAGCGAGCUUCAUACUGAGCUUCCGUCUAUUGGUGUGAUAAUUAUCUACGCCGUGGAUCGGACUCAUGCUUGCUUCUAACUGUCCGCAAGGACAAUUUACUUGACCAAUUUGACCUCAAAUCAGGUAGGACUACCCGCUGAACUUAA
Molecule: unclassified non-coding RNA, 300 nt
Filed under: uncultured Agaricales
Lineage: Eukaryota; Fungi; Basidiomycota; Agaricomycetes; Agaricales
Description: sequence contains 5.8S rRNA gene, ITS2, 28S rRNA gene
Rfam family: 5.8S ribosomal RNA (bases 1-52)
Source: RNAcentral